GUUCGUCUGCGGAGUUCGACAGGCAGGCAAUUUUUCCUCCUACGCUAUCGACCCCGGGAUCCGCCGCUUCUAUCGUACCGCGCAAGCUCCUCGUUAAAGUGGAGGAGAAGCAGGUGCCGGAAUGUGGAGCCCACCUUAUGGAAGCGGGUUGGGAAGUCCUGCCAUCGGCUUUCGCGGACGAAUU
This 184-nucleotide non-coding RNA is filed under the name Myxococcota bacterium. RNAcentral describes it as "6S RNA". It matches the Rfam family "6S / SsrS RNA". Rfam says of the family: E. coli 6S RNA was the first non coding RNA to be sequenced, but its function was unknown until recently. It consists of 184 nucleotides that fold into an extended hairpin structure with a large single-stranded internal bulge. The 6S RNA specifically associates with RNA polymerase holoenzyme containing the sigma70 specificity factor. The record is from RNAcentral. Lineage: Bacteria; Pseudomonadati; Myxococcota.